RNAcentral lists this long non-coding RNA (835 nucleotides) under Aquilegia coerulea. Its description in RNAcentral is "long non-coding RNA (ACOE_LNC000556)". The record is from RNAcentral. Lineage: Eukaryota; Viridiplantae; Streptophyta; Magnoliopsida; Ranunculales; Ranunculaceae.
GGACAAUAGAGAGACACAUCACACAAUGAGGACCGUGAGAUGAGAUCUCACGGCCAAGAUCGAUCCAUCAUCCAUACAUAGGUAACACAAAAGGGUAACCUAAAGACAACUAAGGUAUGAGCUCUCACUCUCUACACUUCUUCUCUCUCUUCCUCUCUCUCUUUACUUUCUUCUCCAUUACCCACAAUGGCUAACUGGAUCGUCGGAGGGUUGACGCCGGAGACAUCUCCGGCGCCCUUUGCAGGUCAUCUAUGGAGAGGGAGCAAGAGGACCAUCUCAACAACACUAAUCUCUACAUGUAACCGGAAUCAAGGCUUACAUAAUGGCGCUAGAAGGUGUAAUGAACCACCACUAAUUUCAACCAUAUUUCCAUAUCUACAACAUCUUCUUCCUUUCACAAGAUCACAUCUUGGUUUCUUUUCUUUCUCAAAUCAAUCUCUUUUUAAUUGGAGAAAAUUUCAACAGUUACACUAGCACAUUCAAUUAGUCAAGUUUGCAAACAACCUCUCAAGCUCAGCCGGGUCAGACACGCAUCACCAUUUCAAUCAUUUUUCGUUCACUCCAUUGAUUCACAUCUGUGACCACCACGGCCCGCUCGGUUCGCUCUACACAUUCACCCAAACAAGAUUUCAUUUUUCAAAGAGUUCCGUUAACUCCGUGUCCAUCAUGGCUUGCACACCAACUGUUCGACGAAAGUCCACCAAAAUAUCUCAAGUGUCUUUAAUUUUUCAAGUUCGCAAACAGCCUCUCUAGCUCAGCUGGGUUACAAAUUUCAGUCAUUUUAACUCCAUGAUCAUGACGACACUCUCGGUUUGCUCAUAUAACUAUAUUGGUA